Long non-coding RNA from Gigantopelta aegis, 345 nucleotides. RefSeq lists it as uncharacterized. The record is from RefSeq and is a predicted model, not a curated record. NCBI's taxonomy places the organism in Eukaryota, Metazoa, Mollusca, Gastropoda, Neomphalida, Peltospiridae. The transcript is spliced from 2 exons.
CGUCAAGACUUGCGGGUAUGAUUGAGAGAAAAUUGUAACUUCACUAUAGGGGUAAUCGAAAACAUAUUAGUCUGAAAUCGUGUGACAAGUAUAUCUACUUCAACAUGAAGAACUGGUGUGCAAGUGCCUGCCGGAUGGGACACUGCACAUAAUCUGCCUGGAUGUACUAUCUCGCUGUGACGAGCGGCGGUAGCAAAUACUACAGAAAGACGUCGCCAUCGUGAUGCGCACAGAAAUGAGUUUCCGGUUGCAUGGAAUAAGCCAAUCAGUGGAAACGUGUCAGUGCAAAGAGGGAGGUAACUCAAGGUUUUGUUUCCAUCUGUGCAAUAAACAAAGUUAACGGCA